Molecule: non-coding RNA, 74 nt
Organism: Podarcis lilfordi (Lilford's wall lizard)
Lineage: Eukaryota; Metazoa; Chordata; Lepidosauria; Squamata; Lacertidae
Source: the annotation of a GenBank genome assembly
UGUUUGGUAGCUCACUCGGUAAAGCAUGAAACUCUUCAUCUUAGGGUUGUGGGUUCGAGUCCCACAUUGGGCAA